AUGGUACUCCUUUCGUCCAGAAUUACUUGUCACAAAAAUGUAUGUAUCUAGAUAUAUUUUUAGUUUUAGAUACACCUAUUUCUAUCAUUUUUGUGACAAGUAAUUUGAAACGAAGGGAGUACUUG
Molecule: non-coding RNA, 125 nt
Organism: Triticum aestivum (bread wheat)
Lineage: Eukaryota; Viridiplantae; Streptophyta; Magnoliopsida; Poales; Poaceae
Source: Rfam